CCCCCGGUAGCUCAGAGGUAGUAGCGCCUGUGUGAAGUACAGGAGGUCGUCGGCUCAAAACCGACCUGGGGGGC
This 74-nucleotide transfer RNA is filed under the name Acaryochloris thomasi RCC1774. Its description in RNAcentral is "Acaryochloris sp. RCC1774 tRNA-Phe". It matches the Rfam family "tRNA". Rfam says of the family: Transfer RNA (tRNA) molecules are approximately 80 nucleotides in length. Their secondary structure includes four short double-helical elements and three loops (D, anti-codon, and T loops). Further hydrogen bonds mediate the characteristic L-shaped molecular structure. tRNAs have two regions of fundamental functional importance: the anti-codon, which is responsible for specific mRNA codon recognition, and the 3' end, to which the tRNAs corresponding amino acid is attached (by aminoacyl-tRNA synthetases). tRNAs cope with the degeneracy of the genetic code in two manners: having more than one tRNA (with a specific anti-codon) for a particular amino acid; and 'wobble' base-pairing, i.e. permitting non-standard base-pairing at the 3rd anti-codon position. The record is from RNAcentral. Lineage: Bacteria; Bacillati; Cyanobacteriota; Cyanophyceae; Acaryochloridales; Acaryochloridaceae.